UCCCCAAGCGUGUGCUAAGUGGGAAAGGAUGUGGAGUCGCAUAGACAGCCAGGAGGUUGGCUCAGAAGCAGCCAUCCUUGAAAGAGUGCGUAACAGCUCACUGGUCUAGUGGUUCCGCGCCGACAAUGUAGCGGGGCUCAAGCACACCACCGAAGACGCGGCAGUACUUCUGUACUGGGUAGGAGAGCGUCCCGUGCGGGGCGAAGCGGCGGCGUGAGCCUGUCGUGGACCGCACGGGAGUGAGAAUGCAGACAUGAGUAGCGAGAGCGGGGUGAAGAUCCCCGCCGCUGGAUGACCAAGGGUUCCGGGGCCACGUUCAUCGUCCCCGGGUUAGUCGGGUCCUAAGGCGAGGCCGACAGGCGUAGUCGAAUGGACGAACGGGUCGAUAUUCCCGUACCGGCUUUGGACCGACCGGUCCGAGACCGGGUUGCUAACCUCCGUUCCGGUUCCGUGCCCUCCUUCGGGUGGGUGUGGGUCCGGCGCGUUGGGAACCGCCCGGCAGUAGGGCAGCGCAGGAGUGACACGGACGGGUAGCCGGCCGCGGAGGUGGUUUUCCGUGGUCAAGCACGCAGCCCGUCGCACAGGCAAAUCCGUGCGGCGUGUGGGCGAGGUGCGAUGAUGGGGCCCCUAUGGGCCGAUAUCCGGUGAUCCCUGCCGUCGAGAAAAGCUUCGGCGCGAGGGCCAAUGCCGCCCGUACCCCAAACCGACACUGGUGGUCAGGUAGAGAAUACCAAGGCGAUCGAGCGAAUCCUGGUCAAGGAACUCGGCAAAUUGCUCCCGUUCCUUCGGUUUAAGGGAGACCCCCUGCUGUGAACGGGCUUGCCCCGGGAGCGGCGGGGGGUGGCACAGGCCAGGGGGUAGCGACUGUUUACCAAAAACACAGGUGCAUGCGAAGGCGAAAGCCGCUGUAUAUGCACUGACGCCUGCCCGGUGCCGGAAGGUUAAGAGGAUCCGUCAAUCCCUUCGGGGACGAAGCGGUGAAUUCAAGCCCCGGUAAACGGCGGUGGUAACUAUAACCAUCCUAAGGUAGCGAAAUUCCUUGUCGGGUAAGUUCCGACCUGCACGAAUGGCGUAACGACUUCCCCACUGUCUCGACCAGGAGCUCGGCGAAAUUGCAGUACGAGUAAAGAUGCUCGUUAAGCGCAGAAGGACGAAAAGACCCCGGGACCUUUACUAUACCUUGGUAUUGGCAUUCGGUGUGGAUUGUGUAGCAUAGGCGGGAGGCUACGAGUCAUGGGCGCCAGCCCGUGAGGAGCCGUCGUUGAAAUACCGCUCUGUUCGCAUUGGAUGUCUAACCUCGAGCAGUCAUCCUGCUCAGGGACAGUGCCUGGCGGGUAGUUUAACUGGGGCGGUUGCCUCCCAAAGAGUAACGGAGGCGCUCAAAGGUUCCCUCAGCCCGGUUGGCAAUCGGGUGGCGAGUGUAAGCGCACAAGGGAGCUUGACUGCGAGACUGACGGGUCGAGCAGGGACGAAAGUCGGAGCUAGUGAUCCGGUGCCGGCGUACGGACGCGGCAUCGCUCAACGGAUAAAAGGUACCCCGGGGAUAACAGGCUGAUCAUUCCCAAGAGUCCAUAUCGACGGGAUGGUUUGGCACCUCGAUGUCGGCUCGUCGCAUCCUGGGGCUGGAGCAGGUCCCAAGGGUUCGGCUGUUCGCCGAUUAAAGCGGCACGCGAGCUGGGUUCAGAACGUCGUGAGACAGUUUGGUCUCUAUCCUCUGCGCUCGUUGGAAUCCUGAGGAGGCCUGCCCAUAGUACGAGAGGACCUGGGUGGACGAACCUCUGGUAUGCCGGUUGUCGCGCCAGCGGCACGGCCGGUUGGCUACGUUCGGAAGGGAUAACCGCUGAAAGCAUCUAAGCGGGAAGCCUGCUCCGAGAUUAGGAUUCCUCGCGGCCUCGGGCCGCGCGACCCCCCAUGUAGAACACGUGGUCGAUAGGCCGGACGUGGAAGCCCCGCAAGGGGUGGAGCUGACCGGUACUAACGGGGGAAAGGCAAUCAUA
This 1997-nucleotide ribosomal RNA is filed under the name metagenome. Its description in RNAcentral is "bacterial LSU rRNA". It matches the Rfam family "Bacterial large subunit ribosomal RNA", at positions 1045 to 2925 of the family's 2925-position model. The record is from RNAcentral.